RNAcentral lists this ribosomal RNA (224 nucleotides) under uncultured bacterium. Its description in RNAcentral is "partial 16S ribosomal RNA". It matches the Rfam family "Bacterial small subunit ribosomal RNA", at positions 15 to 230 of the family's 1533-position model. The record is from RNAcentral.
GAUCAUGGCUCAGGAUGAACGCUAGCGAUAGGCUUAACACAUGCAAGUCGAGGGGCAGCAUGGUCUUAGCUUGCUAAGACUGAUGGCGACCGGCGCACGGGUGCGUAACGCGUAUGCAACUUGCCUCACAGAGGGGGAUAACCCGUCGAAAUACGGACUAAUACCGCGUACACUCCACUUUGGGCAUCCAAAGUAGAGGAAAUGAAAUUCGCUGUGAGAUAGGC